Small nucleolar RNA from Nomascus leucogenys (northern white-cheeked gibbon), 117 nucleotides. Its record names the gene SNORA70. It matches the Rfam family "Small nucleolar RNA SNORA70". Rfam says of the family: snoRNA U70 seems to be exclusive to mammals and is a member of the H/ACA class of snoRNA which contain H (ANANNA) and ACA box motifs. H/ACA box snoRNAs are involved in the conversion of uridines to pseudouridines (5-ribosyluracil) a constituent of structural RNAs (transfer, ribosomal, small nuclear, and small nucleolar). The record is from Ensembl. Lineage: Eukaryota; Metazoa; Chordata; Mammalia; Primates; Hylobatidae.
CUGCUGCUGAUUAAGCCCACCCUUCUUUCUACGUGCAGCUUCUGCACACAGCAGCCCCUCAGAGGUGUAGCAGCCUGCUGCUGGUAUGAGUUACCCCGAGGGACCCUGGAGACAGAU